AACGAACGCUGGCGGCAUGCCUAACACAUGCAAGUCGAACGAGACCUUCGGGUCUAGUGGCGCACGGGUGCGUAACGCGUGGGAACCUGCCCUUAGGUUCGGAAUAACUCCCCGAAAGGGGUGCUAAUACCGGAUAAUGUCUUCGGACCAAAGAUUUGUCGCCUUUGGAUGGGCCCGCGUUGGAUUAGCUAGUUGGUAGGGUAAAAGCCUACCAAGGCGACGAUCCAUAGCUGGUCUGAGAGGAUGAGCCGCCACACUGGGACUGAGACGCGGCCCAGACUCCUACGGGAGGCAGCAGUGGGGAAUAUUGGACAAUGGGCGAAAGCCUGAUCCAGCAAUGCCGCGUGAGUGAUGAAGUCCUUAGGGUUGUAAAGCUCUUUUACCCGGGAUGAUAAUGACAGUACCGGGAGAAUAAGCUCCGGCUAACUCCGUG
Molecule: ribosomal RNA, 433 nt
Filed under: uncultured bacterium
Lineage: Bacteria
Description: partial 16S ribosomal RNA
Rfam family: Bacterial small subunit ribosomal RNA
Source: RNAcentral